This 1490-nucleotide ribosomal RNA is filed under the name Helicobacter pylori Hp H-27. RNAcentral describes it as "bacterial SSU rRNA". It matches the Rfam family "Bacterial small subunit ribosomal RNA". The record is from RNAcentral. Lineage: Bacteria; Pseudomonadati; Campylobacterota; Epsilonproteobacteria; Campylobacterales; Helicobacteraceae.
GAGUUUGAUCCUGGCUCAGAGUGAACGCUGGCGGCGUGCCUAAUACAUGCAAGUCGAACGAUGAAGCUUCUAGCUUGCUAGAAUGCUGAUUAGUGGCGCACGGGUGAGUAACGCAUAGGUCAUGUGCCUCUUAGUUUGGGAUAGCCAUUGGAAACGAUGAUUAAUACCAGAUACUCCCUACGGGGGAAAGAUUUAUCGCUAAGAGAUCAGCCUAUGUCCUAUCAGCUUGUUGGUAAGGUAAUGGCUUACCAAGGCUAUGACGGGUAUCCGGCCUGAGAGGGUGAACGGACACACUGGAACUGAGACACGGUCCAGACUCCUACGGGAGGCAGCAGUAGGGAAUAUUGCUCAAUGGGGGAAACCCUGAAGCAGCAACGCCGCGUGGAGGAUGAAGGUUUUAGGAUUGUAAACUCCUUUUGUUAGAGAAGAUAAUGACGGUAUCUAACGAAUAAGCACCGGCUAACUCCGUGCCAGCAGCCGCGGUAAUACGGAGGGUGCAAGCGUUACUCGGAAUCACUGGGCGUAAAGAGCGCGUAGGCGGGAUAGUCAGUCAGGUGUGAAAUCCUAUGGCUUAACCAUAGAACUGCAUUUGAAACUACUAUUCUAGAGUGUGGGAGAGGUAGGUGGAAUUCUUGGUGUAGGGGUAAAAUCCGUAGAGAUCAAGAGGAAUACUCAUUGCGAAGGCGACCUGCUGGAACAUUACUGACGCUGAUUGCGCGAAAGCGUGGGGAGCAAACAGGAUUAGAUACCCUGGUAGUCCACGCCCUAAACGAUGGAUGCUAGUUGUUGGAGGGCUUAGUCUCUCCAGUAAUGCAGCUAACGCAUUAAGCAUCCCGCCUGGGGAGUACGGUCGCAAGAUUAAAACUCAAAGGAAUAGACGGGGACCCGCACAAGCGGUGGAGCAUGUGGUUUAAUUCGAAGAUACACGAAGAACCUUACCUAGGCUUGACAUUGAGAGAAUCCGCUAGAAAUAGUGGAGUGUCUGGCUUGCUAGACCUUGAAAACAGGUGCUGCACGGCUGUCGUCAGCUCGUGUCGUGAGAUGUUGGGUUAAGUCCCGCAACGAGCGCAACCCCCUUUCUUAGUUGCUAACAGGUCAUGCUGAGAACUCUAAGGAUACUGCCUCCGUAAGGAGGAGGAAGGUGGGGACGACGUCAAGUCAUCAUGGCCCUUACGCCUAGGGCUACACACGUGCUACAAUGGGGUGCACAAAGAGAAGCAAUACUGCGAAGUGGAGCCAAUCUUCAAAACACCUCUCAGUUCGGAUUGUAGGCUGCAACUCGCCUGCAUGAAGCUGGAAUCGCUAGUAAUCGCAAAUCAGCCAUGUUGCGGUGAAUACGUUCCCGGGUCUUGUACUCACCGCCCGUCACACCAUGGGAGUUGUGUUUGCUUUAAGUCAGGAUGCUAAAUUAGCUACUGCCCACGGCACACACAGCGACUGGGGUGAAGUCGUAACAAGGUAACCGUAGGUGAACCUGCGGUUGGAUCACC